Molecule: ribosomal RNA, 415 nt
Filed under: uncultured bacterium
Lineage: Bacteria
Description: bacterial SSU rRNA
Rfam family: Bacterial small subunit ribosomal RNA
Source: RNAcentral
UGGGGAAUAUUGCACAAUGGGGAACCCGUAGCAUGCAGCAACGCCGCGUGAGUGAAGAAGUAUUUCGGUAUGUAAAGCUCUAUCAGCAGGGAAGAUAAUGACGGUACCUGACUAAGAAGCUCCGGCUAAAUACGUGCCAGCAGCCGCGGUAAUACGUAUGGAGCAAGCGUUAUCCGGAUUUACUGGGUGUAAAGGGUGCGUAGGCGGCACAGCAAGUCAGAUGUGAAAGACCGGGCUCAACCCGGGCUGGCAUUGAAAUACUGCCGAGCUUGAGUCCGGGAGAGGCAGGCGGAAUUCCUAGUGUAGCGGUGAAAUGCGUAGAUAUUAGGAGGAACACCAGUGGCGAAGGCGGCCUGCUGGACCGGAACUGACGCUGAGGCACGAAAGCGUGGGGAGCAAACAGGAUUAGAUACCC